GGGGGCGAAACGGUCUCGACGGGGCUGUGGCCCCCACGGGAAGCGGGUCGAGGUCUCCACCACCUCGUAAAAAAGGUGGAAUACAAAAAAGUGCCAACUACGAUUACGCACUCGCUGCCUAAUUGAAAAGGUAGCCGUUCCUUCCUCCUUUGACCCGGAGGGGGAAAGGAACGUCAGAAAACGGGUCUAUGCUGCGGAUGUCGCCCCGCCAUCCGCAGUGAAAACCAAGGGGCUCUGGAAAGGGAACCCUGCCCGUGGGGAGCCCUUUCCGAGAAAGAAACGCGGGCUACACCCGUAGAAGCCUGUGGGGACCCAGCUUCGGACCCGGGUUCGACUCCCGGCGCCUCCACCA
Molecule: transfer-messenger RNA, 352 nt
Filed under: Thermotogae
Lineage: Bacteria; Thermotogati; Thermotogota
Also listed under: 1 other name
Description: UBA12178 sp003538775 Standard tmRNA
Rfam family: transfer-messenger RNA
About the family: Bacterial tmRNA, also known as 10Sa RNA or SsrA, is named for its dual tRNA and mRNA-like properties. Its role is to liberate the mRNA from a stalled ribosome. To accomplish this part of the tmRNA is used as a reading frame that ends in a translation stop signal.
Source: RNAcentral